UACGGAGGAUCCAAGCGUUAUCCGGAUUUAUUGGGUUUAAAGGGUGCGUAGGCGGCUUUUUAAGUCAGGGGUGAAAGACGGUAGCUUAACUAUCGCAGUGCCUUUGAUACUGAAGAGCUUGAAUGGACUAGAGGUAGGCGGAAUGUGACAAGUAGCGGUGAAAUGCAUAGAUAUGUCACAGAACACCAAUUGCGAAGGCAGCUUACUAUGGUUUAAUUGACGCUGAGGCACGAAAGCGUGGGGAUCAAACAGGAUUAGAUACCCUGGUAGUCCACGCCCUAAACGAUGAACACUCGAUGUUAGCGAUAUACAGUUAGCGUCUAAGCGAAAGCGUUAAGUGUUCCACCUGGGGAGUACGCCCGCAAGGGUGAA
RNAcentral lists this ribosomal RNA (372 nucleotides) under uncultured bacterium. RNAcentral's name for it is "bacterial SSU rRNA". It matches the Rfam family "Bacterial small subunit ribosomal RNA", at positions 524 to 898 of the family's 1533-position model. The record is from RNAcentral.